GAGCGAACGGACGAGAAGCUUGCUUCUCUGAUGUUAGCGGCGGACGGGUGAGUAACACGUGGAUAACCUACCUAUAAGACUGGGAUAACUUCGGGGAACCGGAGCUAAUACCGGAUAAUAUUUUGAACCGCAUGGUUCAAAAGUGAAAGACGGUCUUGCUGUCACUUAUAGAUGGAUCCGCGCUGCAUUAGCUAGUUGGUAAGGUAACGGCUUACCAAGGCAACGAUGCAUAGCCGACCUGAGAGGGUGAUCGGCCACACUGGAACUGAGACACGGUCCAGACUCCUACGGGAGGCAGCAGUAGGGAAUCUUCCGCAAUGGGCGAAAGCCUGACGGAGCAACGCCGCGUGAGUGAUGAAGGUCUUCGGAUCGUAAAACUCUGUUAUUAGGGAAGAACAUAUGUGUAAGUAACUGUGCACAUCUUGACGGUACCUAAUCAGAAAGCCACGGCUAACUACGUGCCAGCAGCCGCGGUAAUACGUAGGUGGCAAGCGUUAUCCGGAAUUAUUGGGCGUAAAGCGCGCGUAGGCGGUUUUUUAAGUCUGAUGUGAAAGCCCACGGCUCAACCGUGGAGGGUCAUUGGAAACUGGAAAACUUGAGUGCAGAAGAGGAAAGUGGAAUUCCAUGUGUAGCGGUGAAAUGCGCAGAGAUAUGGAGGAACACCAGUGGCGAAGGCGACUUUCUGGUCUGUA
Molecule: ribosomal RNA, 692 nt
Filed under: uncultured Staphylococcus sp.
Lineage: Bacteria; Bacillati; Bacillota; Bacilli; Caryophanales; Staphylococcaceae
Description: bacterial SSU rRNA
Rfam family: Bacterial small subunit ribosomal RNA
Source: RNAcentral